UUUUUAGUACACAACGUCCAUGCAUGUACAGUUGCGCCCCUGAAGUCUCUGCUGGACGACAAUUUUUCAAUUACGCUGUUGCCCUCUCCAUGUUAGUAUGCCUUCUGCAAGAAACUAUUUGACGAUGUUCAGAAAUUGUUUGCACAUGAUCCACUGAGGAAGGCACUGUCUUGUGCCGAAAGCUCUGGCAGAAUUGCGCGUUUAAUUCUGAACUGAGAUUUCAUUUCCGACGCUCACCGGAGGAAAAGUAAAAUUUUCCAUUUCACUUUCAACAUUUCACGUCGGCUUCACUUAAUUA
Molecule: long non-coding RNA, 298 nt
Organism: Lutzomyia longipalpis
Lineage: Eukaryota; Metazoa; Arthropoda; Insecta; Diptera; Psychodidae
Exons: 3
Source: RefSeq, a predicted model, not a curated record